CGUAACAAGGUCUCCGUAGGUGAACCUGCGGAGGGAUCAUUACAUAAAUAUGAAGGCGGGCUGGAACCUCUCGGGGUUACAGCCUUGCUGAAUUAUUCACCCUUGUCUUUUGCGUACUUCUUGUUUCCUUGGUGGGUUCGCCCACCACUAGGACAAACAUAAACCUUUUGUAAUUGCAAUCAGCGUCAGUAACAAAUUAAUAAUUACAACUUUCAACAACGGAUCUCUUGGUUCUGGCAUCGAUGAAGAACGCAGCGAAAUGCGAUAAGUAGUGUGAAUUNCAGAAUUCAGUGAAUCAUCGAAUCUUUGAACGCACAUUGCGCCCUUUGGUAUUCCAAAGGGCAUGCCUGUUCGAGCGUCAUUUGUACCCUCAAGCUUUGCUUGGUGUUGGGCGUCUUGUCUCUAGCUUUGCUGGAGACUCGCCUUAAAGUAAUUGGCAGCCGGCCUACUGGUUUCGGAGCGCAGCACAAGUCGCACUCUCUAUCAGCAAAGGUCUAGCAUCCAUUAAGCCUUUUUUUCAACUUUUGACCUCGGAUCAGGUAGGGAUACCCGCUGAACUUAAGCAUAUCA
This 570-nucleotide ribosomal RNA is filed under the name uncultured fungus. RNAcentral describes it as "eukaryotic LSU rRNA". The stretch from base 208 to 361 matches the Rfam family "5.8S ribosomal RNA". The record is from RNAcentral. Lineage: Eukaryota; Fungi.